Molecule: long non-coding RNA, 1398 nt
Organism: Phragmites australis (common reed)
Lineage: Eukaryota; Viridiplantae; Streptophyta; Magnoliopsida; Poales; Poaceae
Exons: 3
Source: RefSeq, a predicted model, not a curated record
UACCUUAUCUUUUCAUCACAACAGCCUCUCUCUCUUAUCUCUUGGCCUUUCUCUCUCAGCGCUAGAGCUCCAUCCCCAAAUCUCUCGUCUCUCGGCGCUGGAGCUCGAGCUCCCUCCCCACCCACUGCCCAACCUCCUGCCCACCCCAAUGCCCCACCUCCCUCCCCUACUGGCCCGAACGCCCGAGCUCCAUCCCCUGACGGUCAAGGUGGGCAUGGCGCCGGCGCUAGCACCGGUGCCAGCAGAUGAGGCAGGGAAUUUGGAGAGAUUCCUCAGGUCCACCAUGCCCUCCGUGCCCGUGUAGUACUUGCCCAAGGUUAGGCUUCUCGGAUUAUGUUCCUUUUGGUGAAAUAGUUGCGCGCUUGCUUUGCUUUUACCAUCACUGAUUGAACUUUGUGCACGAUACUUGUUUUGAUUGUGCGGCGAGAUGUUUCUGGUAGGAACAUAUAGCGGAACAGCCGAAGAGGUGCGGAUUGUUAGAUUUUGUCUUAUGGUGAUGAAUCUUGAUUCAUGUAGUUGUUAUGAUUGGGGAAAAUUUGGGAGCCGUAGUUGUGAAGAAAUUUCCCCUUUUACUCUCUCUCUCUCUCUCAUAUGUUACACUCGCAAUGCAUUUCCAGCAAAUCUGACAAAGCAUUGUUGUGUAACUUUUGAUGCCUGGUAACAUUACUUAUUGCAUAUUAGAUAUGCUAAGGUCCCUUGUGCUGCAGUUCGAAUGGCAGAUAAGAGAAGAUUUCAUCUUUUGGAGACAAUGACAAAUGGCAGUAACUUGUGCUGCAGCACUGUGUUUACUGCUGAGGUGUUGUUUCACUUUUCUCCUAGCUUCGUCUGAGGAGCAGCCAGAAGAUCAGAAAUUCAUUAUUUUUUCCUUCUGUUUGUAGCAUGAGUUUUUUGCUAAAAUUUAUUAUUUCCAUUGUAGGGAAAAGCUUCAGAUUCUUGAGCACAUUAUUUUGGUGAAGGCCCUGUCCGGUGCCAAUUUUAGCAAAGUGUGUCAAAAGCUUAAGACGGACAUACCAUCUGAUGUUCUUGCCAUGUGGGAAUCAUAGAGGCUGAUAUACAGAGAACUUCUGGAUCACAUACCAAAUAUUCCGAUGAUUGUGGGCAACAUCUACUGUAAUAUUAGAGUCUGUACGGUUCUAGCAUUUUUGUAGCAGCAGUAAUAUGUACUCUUGUUAUCUGAUAAAUUAAGCUUGGGGUAAUAUGUACUGUUAUUGUCUAGUAUUUUUGUCUACACACUAUGGUUACCUGCUAAUUACUAGGGUCCAGUAUCGUAGUCCGCAACUAUCAUUUUACUUGUUCUUGAUAUUGAGAUGAGUUGACAACUUUCUGAGUGUCAUGUGAAUGCGUUGUGCUGUGUUAUAUGAAACUUGUGAUGUAUUAAUGAACCAUGUUCUUUGAAAA